Molecule: ribosomal RNA, 484 nt
Filed under: uncultured bacterium
Lineage: Bacteria
Description: partial 16S ribosomal RNA
Rfam family: Bacterial small subunit ribosomal RNA
Source: RNAcentral
AGUGAACGCUGGCGGCAGGCCUAACACAUGCGAGUCGAGCGGCAGCGCGGGGGCAACCCUGGCGGCGAGCGGCGGAUGGGUGAGGAAUUCGUCGGAAUCUGCCUUUUUGUGGGGGAUAACGUAGGGAAACUUACGCUAAUACCGCAUACGUCCUACGGGAGAAAGUGGGGGACCGCAAGGCCUCACGCAGAAAGAUGAGCCGACGACCGAUUAGCUAGUUGGUGGGGUAAAGGCCCACCAAGGCGACGAUCGGUAGCUGGUCUGAGAGGAUGAUCAGCCACACUGGGACUGAGACACGGCCCAGACUCCUACGGGAGGCAGCAGUGGGGAAUAUUGGACAAUGGGCGCAAGCCUGAUCCAGCCAUGCCGCGUGUGUGAAGAAGGCCUUCGGGUUGUAAAGCACUUUUGUCCGGAAAGAAAUCCCUGGAGCUAAUACCUUCGGGGGAUGACGGUACCGGAAGAAUAAGCACCGGCUAACUUCGUG